UACGGAGGGGGCUAGCGUUGUUCGGAAUUACUGGGCGUAAAGCGCACGUAGGCGGCGAUUUAAGUCAGAGGUGAAAGCCCGGGGCUCAACCCCGGAAUAGCCUUUGAGACUGGAUUGCUAGAAUCUUGGAGAGGUGAGUGGAAUUCCUAGUGUAGAGGUGAAAUUCGUAGAUAUUAGGAAGAACACCAGUGGCGAAGGCGGCUCACUGGCCCGGUACUGACGCUCAUGUGCGAAAGCGUGGGGAGCAAACAGG
This 253-nucleotide ribosomal RNA is filed under the name uncultured bacterium. Its description in RNAcentral is "partial 16S ribosomal RNA". It matches the Rfam family "Bacterial small subunit ribosomal RNA", at positions 524 to 776 of the family's 1533-position model. The record is from RNAcentral.